GCGCCCGUAGCUCAUUCGGAUAGAGCGCUUGGCUUCGAACCAAGAGGUGGGGGGUUCGAAUCCCUCCGGGCGCGCCA
Molecule: transfer RNA, 77 nt
Filed under: Acidobacteriota bacterium
Lineage: Bacteria; Pseudomonadati; Acidobacteriota
Also listed under: 1 other name
Description: Acidobacteria bacterium tRNA-Arg
Rfam family: tRNA
About the family: Transfer RNA (tRNA) molecules are approximately 80 nucleotides in length. Their secondary structure includes four short double-helical elements and three loops (D, anti-codon, and T loops). Further hydrogen bonds mediate the characteristic L-shaped molecular structure. tRNAs have two regions of fundamental functional importance: the anti-codon, which is responsible for specific mRNA codon recognition, and the 3' end, to which the tRNAs corresponding amino acid is attached (by aminoacyl-tRNA synthetases). tRNAs cope with the degeneracy of the genetic code in two manners: having more than one tRNA (with a specific anti-codon) for a particular amino acid; and 'wobble' base-pairing, i.e. permitting non-standard base-pairing at the 3rd anti-codon position.
Source: RNAcentral